GACGAACGCUGGCGGCAUGCCUAAUACAUGCAAGUCGAGCGAACAGAUGAAGUGCUUGCACAUCUGACGUUAGCGGCGAACGGGUGAGUAACACGUAAGGAAUCUACCUAUAAGCGGGGGAUAACAUUUGGAAACGGGUGCUAAUACCGCAUAAUAUCUUCUUCCGCAUGGAAGAAGAUUGAAAGACGGCUCUGCUGUCACUUAUAGAUGACCUUGCGGUGCAUUAGUUAGUUGGUGGGGUAACGGCCUACCAAGACGAUGAUGCAUAGCCGCACCGGGAGGGUGGUCGGCCACAUUGGGACUUAGACACGGCCCAAACUCCGACGGGAGGCAGCAGUAGGGAAUCUUCCGCAAUGGGCGAAAGCCUGACGGAGCAAUGCCGCGUGAGUGAAGAAGGCCUUCGGGUCGUAAAACUCUGUUAUAAGGGAAGAACAAAUUGUAGAGUAACUGCUACAGUCUUGACGGUAUCUUAUCAGAAAGCCACGGCUAACUACGUGCCAGCCGCCGCGGUAA
This 513-nucleotide ribosomal RNA is filed under the name uncultured bacterium. RNAcentral describes it as "partial 16S ribosomal RNA". It matches the Rfam family "Bacterial small subunit ribosomal RNA", at positions 28 to 523 of the family's 1533-position model. The record is from RNAcentral.